AGUGAACGCUGGCGGUAGGCCUAACACAUGCAAGUCGAACGGCAGCACAGUAAGAGCUUGCUCUUACGGGUGGCGAGUGGCGGACGGGUGAGGAAUACAUCGGAAUCUACUUUUUCGUGGGGGAUAACGUAGGGAAACUUACGCUAAUACCGCAUACGACCUACGGGUGAAAGCAGGGGAUCUUCGGACCUUGCGCGAUUGAAUGAGCCGAUGUCGGAUUAGCUAGUUGGCGGGGUAAAGGCCCACCAAGGCGACGAUCCGUAGCUGGUCUGAGAGGAUGAUCAGCCACACUGGAACUGAGACACGGUCCAGACUCCUACGGGAGGCAGCAGUGAGGAAUAUUGGACAAUGGGCGCAAGCCUGAUCCAGCCAUACCGCGUGGGUGAAGAAGGCCUUCGGGUUGUAAAGCCCUUUUGUUGGGAAAGAAAAGCAGCAGGUUAAUACCCCGCUGUUCCGACGGUACCCAAAGAAUAAGCACCGGCUAACUUCGUG
RNAcentral lists this ribosomal RNA (492 nucleotides) under uncultured bacterium. RNAcentral's name for it is "partial 16S ribosomal RNA". It matches the Rfam family "Bacterial small subunit ribosomal RNA", at positions 29 to 507 of the family's 1533-position model. The record is from RNAcentral.